Molecule: ribosomal RNA, 71 nt
Filed under: Alistipes onderdonkii
Lineage: Bacteria; Pseudomonadati; Bacteroidota; Bacteroidia; Bacteroidales; Rikenellaceae
Description: partial 16S ribosomal RNA
Rfam family: Bacterial small subunit ribosomal RNA
Source: RNAcentral
CAAAACCGGUAACUGGGGCUAAGUCGUAACAAGGUAGCCGUACCGGAAGGUGCGGCUGGAACACCUCCUUU